GGCCCCGAGGUGUCAUCAUGUUAGAUUGCAAAUCUAAAGAAGUAGAUUAUCGUCUACCGGGGCUU
RNAcentral lists this transfer RNA (65 nucleotides) under Chaenophryne melanorhabdus. RNAcentral describes it as "tRNA-Cys". Lineage: Eukaryota; Metazoa; Chordata; Actinopteri; Lophiiformes; Oneirodidae. The record is from RNAcentral. RNAcentral also lists the same sequence under 1 other name.